RNAcentral lists this ribosomal RNA (431 nucleotides) under uncultured bacterium. Its description in RNAcentral is "partial 16S ribosomal RNA". It matches the Rfam family "Bacterial small subunit ribosomal RNA", at positions 29 to 507 of the family's 1533-position model. The record is from RNAcentral.
AACGGACGCUGGCGGCAGGCCUAACACAUGCAAGUCGAGCGCCCCGCAAGGGGAGCGGCGGACGGGUGAGUAACGCGUGGGAACGUACCCUUUGCUACGGAAUAGCCUCGGGAAACUGGGAGUAAUACCGUAUGUGUCCUUCGGGAGAAAGAUUUAUCGGCAAGGGAUCGGCCCGCGUUGGAUUAGGUAGUUGGUGGGGUAAUGGCCUACCAAGCCGACGAUCCAUAGCUGGUUUGAGAGGAUGAUCAGCCACACUGGGACUGAGACACGGCCCAGACUCCUACGGGAGGGAGCAGUGGGGAAUCUUAGACAAUGGGCGCAAGCCUGAUCUAGCCAUGCCGCGUGAGCGAUGAAGGCCUUAGGGUUGUAAAGCUCUUUCAGGGGGGAAGAUAAUGACUGUACCCCCAGAAGAAGCCCCGGCUAACUCCGUG